Photinus pyralis (common eastern firefly) is the source of this 456-nucleotide long non-coding RNA. RefSeq lists it as uncharacterized. NCBI's taxonomy places the organism in Eukaryota, Metazoa, Arthropoda, Insecta, Coleoptera, Lampyridae. The record is from RefSeq and is a predicted model, not a curated record. The transcript has 2 exons.
ACCUGAUUAGGUUAUAAAAAAGUGUGGAAACGGAAUUGCUGCCGCUUUAAUUACAAAGUAAUGUACAAAUAUGCCAUUAAUUCUCGCAACAAAGUGCCUAUAUAACACGCCGACCAAUUUGCUUCUGCCCAUUUGUGCAGAAAACGCGAAAUGCGAGAGUUAAUAAUUUUAACGGUAUUCUUAAUAUGCUGGGCGAUGAAUGGAAAUCUGGCUCAGCCCCUUUUUUAUCGAGAGCAUGAUGCUAGUCACUGUGACACUGCCAACGAUGGAGUGCAUGGCGUCUGCAAGGCCGAUUGUGAUGAUACCGAUAUCGUUCCUGGGAACUGCCUAAAUGGAAAGGUAUGUUGUUCCUUUGAUGAGCGGGAACAACCUUUCAGAGAGUACGCGUAAAAAUAGUUCGUUUGUGUAGUCACACUAUUUCCUAUAAAUUCGAAAAAAUAAAAUUUCAGUAAAUCA